UCUCUUAAACACAUUUCACAAACUUUUUGAUAAUUGACAAUGGGGUGUGUAUGUGAUUCCCCACCAGCUUUUGGACUCUCCCGUAGUUCUCCUUUUUCUCGUCCAAUUUUCCCAUCAACUGUACUGAGGUUGUAGCAUGGGAAUUCUGACUCUUCCUUCUUGACAGGAUGAGGGAGACAGAUGACUGAGCUCUGGCUUUUUUCCAGGAUGCAAGACAGGAGACACUGUGACCCACAGGAAGCUUCCUUCUGGAGAAACACAACAGAGUCCUGUCUGAGAGACUUCCGAAAGAGUGCGCUGCCUGCCCACAGGGCUGGAGUGGUGGCUUGGCCUUGGCUUGGGUUCAUAAACAUUUUCCCUUCAUUAUGCAGACAUUUAGCUUCAGUUAGGAGUCAAUGUUGCCUUAUAUGGAUGUCAGGAGGAGGAGUUUAUCCUGAAUUGUCUGGGAGCACAUUAAAAGUGGUUGCAUGUGUUGUGAUAAAUGGAGCGGAACAGAAGAACAUGAGGCUGUCGGACCUGGGAGCCCAAGACUGCAAUGACACAACCACAAACCAAAGAACAUCUGGAGCCAUCGGCAGCUGGAGAGGUAUAAUCACCUUGGUCAAUGACAGAACAUCUUCCUCAUCCUGAAGGCACUCACAGUUCCCUGACAAGUCUUGAAAGAGACAUGGACAUCCAGGUACCAGAAGCUGCAGACCUCCCAGGAGACUCAACAAAGAGAGGUCUCCACCAGAGUCAUCUCUGGGGCAGUCAAUAUCCCACAUGGAUAUGGGUUGGAGUCCCGGCAGUCCACUUCUCACUCGGCUUCCAAACACAAAGCAAGAAGACUGGAAGUCACAAGAAGAAUAAAACUGAAAUGCAGGGACAUUAAACAACUUGCUACUGAAGAAAUUAAAGAGGAAAUAAACUUUCUUGAAGAAUGAAAAAAUGAAAUCCUGUGGGACACAACAUAUUGACAGGUAAGUCCACGGUUAAAUGCUGACAUUAAGAAAAAAAAAAGUAUUGAAGAUCUAAUAUUGCUUCUCAAAGCCCUUAAAGAACAAAACAAGCUCAAAGUUAUGAGGUGAAAAAUUAGAGCAGAAGUAAGUAAAAUUGAAACUAA
Ochotona curzoniae (black-lipped pika) is the source of this 1102-nucleotide long non-coding RNA. RefSeq lists it as uncharacterized. NCBI's taxonomy places the organism in Eukaryota, Metazoa, Chordata, Mammalia, Lagomorpha, Ochotonidae. The record is from RefSeq and is a predicted model, not a curated record. The transcript is spliced from 5 exons.